RNAcentral lists this ribosomal RNA (465 nucleotides) under Klebsiella pneumoniae. RNAcentral describes it as "partial 23S ribosomal RNA". It matches the Rfam family "Bacterial large subunit ribosomal RNA", at positions 2261 to 2725 of the family's 2925-position model. Lineage: Bacteria; Pseudomonadati; Pseudomonadota; Gammaproteobacteria; Enterobacterales; Enterobacteriaceae. RNAcentral also lists the same sequence under 1 other name. The record is from RNAcentral.
GUGGGUAGUUUGACUGGGGCGGUCUCCUCCCAAAGCGUAACGGAGGAGCACGAAGGUUAGCUAAUCCUGGUCGGACAUCAGGAGGUUAGUGCAAUGGCAUAAGCUAGCUUGACUGCGAGCGUGACGGCGCGAGCAGGUGCGAAAGCAGGUCAUAGUGAUCCGGUGGUUCUGAAUGGAAGGGCCAUCGCUCAACGGAUAAAAGGUACUCCGGGGAUAACAGGCUGAUACCGCCCAAGAGUUCAUAUCGACGGCGGUGUUUGGCACCUCGAUGUCGGCUCAUCACAUCCUGGGGCUGAAGUAGGUCCCAAGGGUAUGGCUGUUCGCCAUUUAAAGUGGUACGCGAGCUGGGUUUAGAACGUCGUGAGACAGUUCGGUCCCUAUCUGCCGUGGGCGCUGGAGAAUUGAGGGGGGCUGCUCCUAGUACGAGAGGACCGGAGUGGACGCAUCACUGGUGUUCGGGUUGUC